This 301-nucleotide ribosomal RNA is filed under the name uncultured bacterium. RNAcentral describes it as "partial 16S ribosomal RNA". It matches the Rfam family "Bacterial small subunit ribosomal RNA", at positions 509 to 807 of the family's 1533-position model. The record is from RNAcentral.
CAGUCGCCGCGGUAAUACAGAGGGUGCGAGCGUUAAUCGGAUUUACUGGGCGUAAAGCGUGCGUAGGCGGCUUUUUAAGUCGGAUGUGAAAUCCCUGAGCUUAACUUAGGAAUUGCAUUCGAUACUGGGAAGCUAGAGUAUGGGAGAGGAUGGUAGAAUUCCAGGUGUAGCGGUGAAAUGCGUAGAGAUCUGGAGGAAUACCGAUGGCGAAGGCAGCCAUCUGGCCUAAUACUGACGCUGAGGUACGAAAGCAUGGGGAGCAUACAGGAUUAGAUACCCCUGUAGUCCCUGUCUCUUAUAC